This 253-nucleotide ribosomal RNA is filed under the name uncultured bacterium. RNAcentral's name for it is "partial 16S ribosomal RNA". It matches the Rfam family "Bacterial small subunit ribosomal RNA", at positions 524 to 776 of the family's 1533-position model. The record is from RNAcentral.
UACGUAGGGCGCAAGCGUUAUCCGGAAUUAUUGGGCGUAAAGAGCUCGUAGGCGGUUGUCGCGUCUGCCGUGAAAGUCCGGGGCUCAACUCCGGAUCUGCGGUGGGUACGGGCAGACUAGAGUGAUGUAGGGGGAGACUGGAAUUCCUGGUGUAGCGGUGAAAUGCGCAGAUAUCAGGAGGAACACCGAUGGCGAAGGCAGGUCUCUGGGCAUUAACUGACGCUGAGGAGCGAAAGCAUGGGGAGCGAACAGG